Vespa mandarinia (Asian giant hornet) is the source of this 1490-nucleotide long non-coding RNA. NCBI's taxonomy places the organism in Eukaryota, Metazoa, Arthropoda, Insecta, Hymenoptera, Vespidae. The record is from RefSeq and is a predicted model, not a curated record.
AUGUCGGUCUUCGAACGAUUUAUUUAUUUAUUUAAUUUUUUUUUUCUUUUUUCUUCAUUUUGCGAAUUUAUAAAAGUGUACUCACCGAGCAUGGAGCAUGGGACAUAUGAUAUGUGGUAUCUAAGCCGCAGUAGAAGAGACUGCUUGAAAAAGAAGGAGAGGAGGAUGAAGAGCAGGAGAAGCAUGGUAAAGGAGGAGGAAGAAGAAGAAGAGGAGGUGGAGGAGGAGAAAGAGGAGGAGGAGAAAAGAACGUUUUUCUUCAAAGACUCCUCGUAACUCGGCGUGCUUGAGAGCAGAUUCUCUUCGUAAAGGGAGAAAGAGAAAGAGAAAUAGAAAGACAGAGAGAGAGAGAGAGAGAGAGAGAGAGAGAGAGAGAGAGAGAGAGAGAGAGAGAGAGAGAGAGAAAGAGAAAGAGAGAGAACUGAGAGCACGUUGUAACGCGUUGUACGUAAAUAUUUAUUCGUUUCUCUCUCUCUCUCUCUCUCACUCUACCUCUCUCUCUCUCUUCCUUUUUUUCUUUCUGUGUGAUCAUUAAGAAAAAACAAUUCAAGGGAUUUCAAUUCGUAGCGCCAGGAUUGCUUAGUGAUUUGAAGCACGUCAAUAUAAUGUUCUUUGCUUAAGAUAACAGACAAGAGAGUUUUUGGUAUAUUCCAUUGAUAAGCGAGAUAUUGUGUGUAGAGUAGUUCGCGUGGGUCGACCCGAUCAGACGAUGAUGUCAUCAAUAUAAUUUCUAACAAUUACGAUGAUCUGAACUGUCGUAUCUAUCAUUAUAUAUUGGAUUUAAUGAGGAUUUUUUAUUUUUUUUUUAAUCGAUUCGAUGAUCCGAUUAUUCCGAUCGAACGACUUUUAUUAGAAUUAUUUCGAAUGAUGUUUCGAGGUCGUUCUGCAUGUUGAUUAAUUUUUCUUCCCAUUCUUUCUUUCUUAUAUUUUUUUUCCCUCUUCUUCUUCUUCUUUUUCUUCCUAUCCUUUUCUUUUUUCUUAUUUUCUUUUAAUUAGCGCGAAAAUAACGGAUUCCUCGUUGAUAUUAAAUAAAACGUGAGUGACCCGACUCGCGAUGAUAAAUACUAAACGAAAUUUUCCGUUGGCGAUUAGCGAAUCUUACGAAAGAGAAAAAGGGAGAAAGAAAGAAAAAGAGAGCGAGAGAAAGAGAGAGAGAAAAAGAAAGAAAGAAAGAAAGAAAGAAAGAAAGAAAGAAUUAAUAAUAAAAUAUAUACGCAUAUAAGUGUAUCAAGUGUAUCAAGUAAAAUUAUCAAGAUUUAAAUUAUCUCGAAUGAAAUUUAAAUUCAAAUAUACAUAAACAUUGUUAGACUUUAUUGUGAAUCGAUUAAUCUAAACGGGAUAAUAUACGUAAGUUUCAUAAUUUUACGAUAAAUCUUUCAAUGCCCUCGAAUUAUGUUAUCAAAGAUGUAUGUAGUAUGUACGUAAUGUUCUGUGAUGCUCUGUGUACGAUGAAGAAAAGAAAUUAUAAAAAUUAAGUACGCAUACUUUUA